This is a long non-coding RNA of Oryctolagus cuniculus (rabbit), 6128 nucleotides long. RefSeq lists it as uncharacterized. NCBI's taxonomy places the organism in Eukaryota, Metazoa, Chordata, Mammalia, Lagomorpha, Leporidae. The record is from RefSeq and is a predicted model, not a curated record.
CCCCUUACCCUCAGGAUCACAGGUCACCACUUUGUUUCCGUAAACUUUGCCCAGACCUCUAGAGUCAGAUCCAAAGAUCAGCUUCUGGCGAAAACUUGCCCUCAGUAAGGUUUCUGUCACUGCACACCCACCUCGUUAGCCUUCCGUGGAACAGCCCUCUGUACGGAAUGAGUACCAAGAUGGCGGCCUUCAUGGAGAAACGUCCCGGCGCAGCCAUGUUCAUCUCCUGACAACGCCGCUCUUGACCAAAGUCUUUGCGGAUCCGUAACAGCACCUUGUUCAGUGAUUUCUUGGUCUCUCUGUGGAGCCAUUGAGUCUUUCCCUGUACUGGAGGCUGCAGGAUCUUCUGCAUGUAGUCACCUUUCUAGCUUUGGAGAGUAGGCUGAGGCCUAGGGUGAACAUGCCAGCUAAUGGGAAAUCACCCCAGAGGUUCCCAGCCGUGAUUCCAGGAGAACCUGGCAGAUCAACUGAGAGUUAGACAGUGAGAGCAAGAGACAGAGAGAAAAGUCUUCCUUCUGUGGGUUCACCCCCCAAAUGGCCGCCACUGCCGGAGCUACGCCGAUCUGAAGCCAGGAGCCAGGUGCUUCCUCCUGGUCUCCCAUGCUGGUGCUUGGGCCGUCCUCCACUGCCUUCCUGGGCCACAGCAGAGAGCUGGACUGGAAGAGGAGCAACCGGGACAGAAUCCGGUGCCCCAACUGGGACUAGAACGUGGGGUGCCGGCGCUGCAGGUGGAGGAUUAGCCAAGUGAGCCGUGGCACCGGCCUACCUGAAUGUUUUAUAGUGAUGAAUAUUGUGGCUGAUUGGGGAACACUUCCCCUGACCACUAUUGUAAAACCAGAUCCUUGAUGAAAUUUUAAUGGAGCCUUUGCAUAGGAAUAUAAGAGUUGAUGGGAUUAAAGUGAAAGUUUGGGGAAUUUGUAUGAGUAAGACUUAUGUGAAGUGGUUGUAUAUCUUUUACCUGAUUAUAUUAGAGAUGGCCACUGUAUCUAACUGUGGAAUGUUUCUCUCCCUAGCUUUGUAACAUUACCCUUCAGGCAAUAUUACUUGGACAUGCUAGAUGGAAACCAAUGAUAAGGCCAUGUAGUACAGAAGAGGAAUGCUGCUUUAGACUAAUUCUCUGUGCUAUGUAACCCUAUGUGGAGCAUAGAACAGGGGCUUAUGGCAAAAGCAGGUGAGCGCCUCCCAGUGGUAACUAUUGGGACUUUGGACUAAAGAAUUUCUAUUUGAGGGGCAAUUACAGCUAUUGGAAAUGAAUUGAAAAUCCCUAUCAUUGAAGGACAUAAAAUAAUUUUGAAACCUAAAAUAUCUAUCAUGUCUUGGGUGAUGGAGAAAUGUUCUAAUGAGGAGGGCAGCACUCAGAAGAGUUCUCUAAUAAAAUGGAAAUGAUUUACACAAUAUGCCACCAGUGUAAGGCAGAGACUUAGCUUAUCCACAUAAAACGUCACUUGGAUAGUGCCCUAGCUUUCCUCUGAUCGACAAAGCUGCAUGGAUUGUGGAUGUCAGUUCAAAGGUGAGCAGACAACAUCCUGUUUUGAAAGCUACCACUAUUAUUAAAGAAGGUAAAAACAAAUCAGUGAGUCGGCUGAAUUGCUUGCUGUCUGUUCCUAGCAGUGAAGGAAGAGUUGACCAAUAUUAAAAGUCCUUGUGUUUGGCUUUUUAAUGAUGCAUGGAUGGAUAGUUGCUAAUGGCCUGGAAGGGCAAUGGAGAACUGGCCUACAAAAGGUUUGCUCCUAUGGAAAGCAGUAUGGGAAUCUGAGGGGUGUAUUAGAGUAGGAAAUAUCACUGCUCAUCAGAAGAACCUCUUUCAGCAUUAGAAGGCUAUUGGAACCAACAAGCAGAUAGCACAGUGUUCUUGCUUAGGGUGGCCACACAUGUCCAUGAAAUGAAUGGAUAUGGGAUAACUGCAGCAAUGAAGAGAGGGAUACAAAUCUGGGCUAUGAGGGAACUUUAAAAAAUUGGUGGCAAAUGGAAUGAAAAGAUAAGUUUAGGGGAAGGUGUUUGGUGCAAUGGCUGAGACACCUACAUCCCAUAUUGGACUGCAGGGAUUCAAGUACUGGCUCCAGGUUCUUGUUAAUGCAUACCCUGGGAGGUACCAGGUGAUGGCUUGAGUGUUGAGUCCCUGCUACCUAUGGUAUUGAUUUCUGGGCUCUUGGCUUUGGCCUGGCCUAGUCUUGGCUCUUGUGGGCAUUAGGGGAGUGAACUUGUGGAUGGAAGAUCUCCCUGUGUCUGUUUCUAUCUCUCUGCUUUUCAAAUAAAUAAAAAGAAACACUUAAAAUAUUUUUCAAAGGUAAAUUUAUUUUGGUGCAAAAAUUUUUGAGAUCCAUGCGUAUUAGGGGCCUUCAAAAAGUUCAUGAAAAAAUGUAUAUUAUGAAAAAAUGCACAAAGGUUUCAAAAAUAUUUUUAAAAGAUUUAUUUACUUAUUUGAAAGGCAGAGUUACAGAGAGGCAGAGUCAGAGAGAGAGAGAGACAGAGACAGAGAGACAGAGAGACAUCUUCCAUCUGCUGGCUUAUCCCCAAGUGGCUGUAACGGCCAGAGCUGGGCUGAUCUGAACGAAGCCAGGAGUCAGUAGCUUCUUCCAGGUUUCCCACAUGGGUGCAGGGACCCAAGCAUUUGGGCCAUCUUCUACUGCUUUCCCGGGCCAUCAGCAGGGAGCUGGAUCAGAAGAGGAGCAGCUAAACUUGAACUGGCAUCCCUAUAGGGUGCCGACACUACAGGCAGUAGCUUUACCUGCUAUGCCACAGUGCCAGUCCCUCAAAAAUAUUUUGCACCAAAAGGAACUCAUCUUUGAAUUCCAUUUUCUAUGCACUUUCUGAAGUGCCCUGCUAAAGUCAGCCCUCUGUGUCUUCAAGCUCUGCCUCUGCAUAUUCAACCAGCUGUGGUUUAAAAGUAUUUGACAAAAAGGCUCUGUGUAAACUAAAUAUGUGCAGGCCUUUUUGUUGUCAUUGUUUCCUAAAUGACACAGCACAACAGCUCUUUACAGAGCAUUUACAUUGUAUUAGUUAUUAUAAGUAAGCUGGGGGUGAUGUAAAGCAUAUGGGAGGAUUCACGUGGGUCCUAUGCAAGUUCUAUGUCAUUUUAUCUAAGGAACUUGAGCGUUUUGUGGACUUUGGUAUUUGUGGAGGGUUCUGAAGCCAAUCUCCUGUGGGACAAGUGCCUUGUUUUACACCCCCUGAAGCACAAAGUGCCAAUAAUAGCUGUUGUGUUUGCCAGCAAAAGAGACAGCGACAGCAGAUGGCUAGUUGGCAGAUUUCCCAAUGGGAAGGCCUUACGGCAGCCAAGUGAGGCUGUUGCUUAUAGCCCUUGGGGCUACAAAUGGGUCCGGACAGGCAUAGAGACUGAGUAGAGCCUAGGCUUUGCUUACCCCCUGGUAGUUGCAAAUACUCAGAGUGCUAUAAAGGAAGUUGAACAGGAGAUAUUGGUACCAGUUUGGACCAUGGAGGCCCAUUUCUUCAGGCCAAGAAACACACUUCAUCCUCAGAGACCUGGAACAGGCAGUGGACACACUGAUUGUUUAAAGGGGCAGCAGGAAGACACAUAGGCAUGAAGGACUGGCUUACACGUCUUUAUGAGUGUGUGCUCACACUCAACACGAGGGGGAUGAAGUAGCCCCACCAAUUACAUUCUGUUUUGCUGAUGGCUCUGGGGACGAGGGCGUGGAGGGAGAAGCUGGUAUGACUGUGCAGUUCUUUCCCAAGUGGGAGGUUGCUGAUGUGAUGGCUGUACUUGUUUCUUUCUUCCCCACAUCACCUCAACUUUAUUUUUUUCCUACCCGAUAUGGUGGUUGCAGGACCUCGGCUGCAACUGCAAAUGCCUGAAGCAGGGAUGAAUCCUAAGCAACUAUGUUUUAAAAACUUGAAUCCCUGGAGCUUGCCAGGGUGGGUCCUGCUUUCACCUCAUGUGGCAAAGCUGGGGCUCACAGUGAAUGUAGCCAUGUUUUGUCCUGGGAGAAUAACCCACUAAUUCUGCAUCUUGUGAUUUUUCUUACCCUGUCUGAAUGACAGUGGACUUGGGGAGGUACUGGCUAGACUACUACUGCUGCCUGCAAUCUAGACAAUCUAUAUGGCCAAAUCCAAUGUCCUCUCUGAGGGUAGAAAAGAUUAGGUAAGAGAAGGAUAGUAAAAGAGUGAGUAGGAGCUGGCAUUGUGUCUCAGCAGGUUAAGCUGCCGCCUGUGAUGCCAACAUCCCAUAUGGAGCCAGUUCAUAUCCCAGCAGCUCCACUUCCAAUCCUGCUUCCUGCUGAUGGCCCGGAAAAAGCAGCAGAAGCUGGACCAAGUGCUUGGGCCCUUGCACCCAUGUGGAAGACCCAGGCUUUGGCCCUACCCAGUCCUGACUAUUGGCUGCCAUUUGGGGAGUGAACCAGCAGAUGGAAGAUUGUUUCUCUCUCUCUCUCUCUCUCUCUCUCUCUAAUUCUGCCUUUCAGAUAAGUAAAUAAAUCUUUUUUAAAAAGAGUGAAUAAAUGGAUUAUGUGAUGAGGGAAACCCAAUAUUAAAUUCAUUCCUCAAAAGAGACCAGUACAAGAGAUGAUACUGUCUCUUAGUUCAAUUAUUCUACAUGCCCAGAAGGUGAAGCUGUGUUUGCUGGGACAGCUCUUGCUUUCGGAACCUGACAAGAUCAAAUGGAAUCCUGUAAACUGGAGUAGCCUCAUACUGAGUGACAUUUUCCUAUGAAACGAUGAUGGACUAGAAUAAUUAUCAAUGACUUAACAAGACUCUAAUAAUGUGUCUUUCAACUUCUAUGAUUCUUUUGCUAUAAGGGUUCUGUGGUCAAAGGGCAAGGGUGGUCGAUGGUAUAAUGUAGUUGUCCAUCUUUUUCUUAAUCAUAUUUUAUAUUCUGGAUUUUAAUUCCUUGUCAUUAUAUGCGUGGAAAGUAUCUUCUUCCAGCCUGUGGCUUUUCUUUUCCCUUUCUGUGGUGUGCUUUGAUGAAUAGAUUUUGUAUUGUUUGAAUAAUUUAUACAGGAAACUAUUUCAUGCUUAGAGAAAAGUUGUUAGUAAAAAAGUAUCUUUUUUUCUGAAUUAUUUUAAAGUAAGUUGCUGGCUUGAUGUCACAUCAUCCCUGAAUACUUUGAAGACCUACUGCAUAACCACAGGACAACCAGCAAAAAUAAGAAAUGCACACAACUACCAUCUAACCCCUUACCCCAUUCGCAUUUCACCUGUUGUCCCAAUAGUGUUCAUCAUCACAAAAUAUCCAAUUUGGGAUUACAUUUGGCACUUAGUUGUCAAUAUUUUAGUGUUCUUAGGUCAGGAAGAGCUCCUGACCUUUUGAGGGUUUCAAGGCAGUUACUUUGUAGACUGUCCCUCACUGUGGAUGUGUCUCAUGGGUCCUCAUGAUCGGACUCAGGAGUCUUUGUCAGUCAUGUCCCAGAGGCGAUGCUGUGUCCUGGGUGGCUGGUGACAGCAGUUUGUUCUGCCCCCAGUGGUAUUCGCCAGGAUCACUGGAUGAAAGUGAGUCUGCCAGGCUUCUCCACCACAGAGUUCCUCUCUUCCCCUUUGUAAGGAAUAAGUAGUUUGUGGAAAGGCACUUUGAGGUCGUGUAAAUACUCUCCUCAUUAACAUUUUAAUGUAUUAGUUUUUAUAUCAGCAUGGAUUCAUGGUUCCCUAUUUUAUUCUGUGAGUUAUAACGUUACUGUUAUUAAUUUAUCAUUGAAAUCACACUAUUUUUAUUAUAUGAAAUAGGAUAUAGAUGAAGAAUGAAGUAAUACUACAGGAAAACAGUGAAUCUGAAUAGUCAUACAAAUAAUUUUAUAGGGGCCAACAUUGUAGCCCAGGGGGGUUAAGCCACAGCUUGUGAUGCCAACGUCCCAUAUUAGAGUGCCUGUUUCAGUCUUGGCUGCUCCAGCAGUCUAGCUUCCUGCUAAUGCACCUGGGAAACCGUGGAUGAUGGCCCAAGUACUUGGGUCCUUGCUAUCCAUGUGGGAAACCAGGAUGGAGUUCCUAGCUCCUGGCUUUGGACUGGCCCAGACUUGGCUGUUGUUGCCAUUCGGAGAGUGAACUAGUGAAUGGAAGAGCUCUCUCUCUCUCUAACUCUGACUUUCAUAUAAAUAAAUAAAUCUUUAAAAAAAGAUUAUAUGGGGUCUGGUGUUGUAGGGUAGUGGUUAACACCACUGCCUGUGAUUUCAACAUCCCGU